This 253-nucleotide ribosomal RNA is filed under the name uncultured bacterium. Its description in RNAcentral is "partial 16S ribosomal RNA". It matches the Rfam family "Bacterial small subunit ribosomal RNA", at positions 524 to 776 of the family's 1533-position model. The record is from RNAcentral.
GACAGAGGGGGCAAGCGUUGCUCGGAAUACUGGGCGUAAAGGGCGCGUAAGCGGGAUGGCAAGUCGGUCGUGAAAUCCCUCGGCUCAACCGAGGAACGUCGAUCGAUACUGCUGCUCUUGAGGAUUGCAGAGGAGACUGGAAUUCCCGGUGUAGCGGUGAAAUGUGUAGAGAUCGGGAGGAACACCGGUGGCGAAGGCGGGUCUCUGGGCAAUUCCUGACGCUGAGGCGCGAAAGCCGUGGGGAGCAAACGGG